AUAUCAGUAUGCAUAGCAUAUCAAUAAGCGGAGGAAAAGAAACUAACAAGGAUUCCCCUAGUAACGGCGAGUGAAGCGGGAAGAGCUCAAAUUUGAAAUCUUAAAGGGUUUCCCUUUACGAAUUGUAGUUUAAAGAAGUGUUUUCUGUUAGAGUUUCGGUAAAAGUUCUUUGGAAUAGGACAUCAUAGAGGGUGAGAAUCCCGUAUUUGACCGUUAUUUCUAGCUUUGUGAUACACUUUCAAAGAGUCGGAUUGUUUGGGAAUGCAGUCCAAAAUGGGUGGUAAAUUUCAUCUAAAGCUAAAUAUUGGCGAGAGACCGAUAGCGAACAAGUACCGUGAGGGAAAGAUGAAAAGAACCUUGAAAGAGAGUUAAACAGUACGUGAAAUUGUCAAAAGGGAAGCGUUUGACACCAGUGUUGUUUAAUUGAAAAUCAAUUAACUAAUUUUUGAUUUUAAAUAGUAUUGACUUUAUCAGCUUGCUAUUUUCUUUUCGGAAAUUAUUUAAUGCACUUUUCAGUUAACAAGUCAACAUCAAUUUCUUUUGUUGUAAAAAGGUAAGAGGAAGGUGGCUUAUGCUUCGGUAUAAGUGUUUAUAGCCCUUUACCUCUGCAAUCGGAGAGAUUGAGGUCUGCAGCGUAGAUCCUUCGGGGUUAGAUACAUUUGUGCUAAGUUAUAGUAUUUUAUAGACAACUUGUUGACUAUAAUUUAUCAUGUAGCUUACUCGCUUAUGCUAUUUUACCUACGCUUAGGAUGUUGACGAUCAGCUGAGCGCG
Molecule: ribosomal RNA, 772 nt
Filed under: uncultured Neocallimastigales
Lineage: Eukaryota; Fungi; Neocallimastigomycota; Neocallimastigomycetes; Neocallimastigales
Description: partial large subunit ribosomal RNA
Rfam family: Eukaryotic large subunit ribosomal RNA
Source: RNAcentral